RNAcentral lists this ribosomal RNA (501 nucleotides) under uncultured bacterium. RNAcentral describes it as "partial 16S ribosomal RNA". It matches the Rfam family "Bacterial small subunit ribosomal RNA", at positions 30 to 523 of the family's 1533-position model. The record is from RNAcentral.
AUUGAACGCUGGCGGCAGGCUUAGCACAUGCAAGUCGAGCGGAGAUGAGGUGCUUGCACCUUAUCUUAGCGGCGGACGGGUGAGUAAUGCUUAGGAAUCUGCCUAUUAGUGGGGGACAACAUUCCGAAAGGAAUGCUAAUACCGCAUACGUCCUACGGGAGAAAGCAGGGGAUCUUCGGACCUUGCGCUAAUAGAUGAGCCUAAGUCGGAUUAGCUAGUUGGUGGGGUAAAGGCCUACCAAGGCGACGAUCUGUAGCGGGUCUGAGAGGAUGAGCGGCCACACUGGGACUGAGACACGGCCCAGACCCCUACGGGAGGCAGCAGUGGGGAAUAUUGGACAAUGGGGGGAACCCUGAUCCAGCCAUGCCGCGUGUGUGAAGAAGGCCUUAUGGUUGUAAAGCACUUUAAGCGAGGAGGAGGCUACUGAGACUAAUACUCUUGGAUAGUGGACGUUACUCGCAGAAUAAGCACCGGCUAACUCUGUGCCAGCCGCCGCCGUAA